GUGGGCGUGGUGAAAUGGCAGACACGCUAGAUUUAGGUUCUAGUGACGAAUAGUCGUGGGGGUUCAAGUCCCUCCGCCCAUACCA
Molecule: transfer RNA, 85 nt
Filed under: Rickettsiales bacterium
Lineage: Bacteria; Pseudomonadati; Pseudomonadota; Alphaproteobacteria; Rickettsiales
Description: tRNA-Leu
Rfam family: tRNA
About the family: Transfer RNA (tRNA) molecules are approximately 80 nucleotides in length.
Source: RNAcentral